CUCAUUCAAUAGCUUAAAUCAUACAAUUCCUUCUAGAAACUAGACCCCUAUCAAGAUAGGGGCGGGUAUUAAUUUGAAGAAUCCUUACCUUACAGAAAUAUUUUGAUUUGGGUCGUGGGAGGCUAGCGACGAGAGUGAGAGCUAGCACCCGUGGUUGGCGGUGGAAGGUGGAGAGUGAGAGCUGAGGCGCCGAGCGAAGUCGUGGAGAGGCGGAGUCAAGGAUGGUGGCUGUGGUGUAUUGGUGGCAGCAUAGGAAGCGCAGGGUUGAUGGGGGGAAAAUGAACAACAGGAGGCGCAGUGAAUUGAGAAGAGGAGAACUUACAAAUGGGAGAAAAAUGUCGUGUUUAAUUAGGUUUUUUAGGACAAACAUACCGUAAAUACGUUUAAUUUUUGAGCAAAACACGACGUGCAACAGAUGCACGCGGUAAAUAGUGGCUUAAUACGGCGUGAAUCAUUUGCACGU
Molecule: long non-coding RNA, 463 nt
Filed under: Olea europaea subsp. europaea
Lineage: Eukaryota; Viridiplantae; Streptophyta; Magnoliopsida; Lamiales; Oleaceae
Source: RNAcentral